AUCCUUUUGCAGUUCAUAAGUGUGAUGAUUGGGUUUUCAUGCUCAUGUGUAAGAUGUGCUUCCCUCAAACCUUGCUAUAAUGUCAGCACAGUAUCUAUCUGACA
Callithrix jacchus (white-tufted-ear marmoset) is the source of this 104-nucleotide non-coding RNA. NCBI's taxonomy places the organism in Eukaryota, Metazoa, Chordata, Mammalia, Primates, Cebidae. The record is from Rfam.